Molecule: long non-coding RNA, 510 nt
Organism: Carcharodon carcharias (great white shark)
Lineage: Eukaryota; Metazoa; Chordata; Chondrichthyes; Lamniformes; Lamnidae
Exons: 2
Source: RefSeq, a predicted model, not a curated record
CAAAUAUUCGGGAGAGAUAGAAAUGAUUUGAUACGUCAUCUCCAGAUGUGGGUUUAGAAGGUGUAAGAAGACCCCAUCUCUAUUCCAGUUAAAAAUCCAGCACAGAGAUUGAGAAUUAUUCAUCAAAAGGAACCCUAAGUGCAAAAAUCAUCGACUUCUGGAAAAGACAGAUUAUAUUUUUUAAGAAGAAAUUGUCUCCUGCAAUUGCAACUUUAUAUGGCUUCAACUCCUGAAAUCUCAAGAUCACCAUGGAAAAAGGUCUGCGGCAGCCACAGAUACCAGAAAACAACUCAUAAACAGUGAACUCUAUUUUUUUACCUUUUAGCCUUGAACUUUAAUUUGCCUAAGAAAGUAAAUACCUACAGUGCAACUUUUAAAGUCCGCAUGCUUGUGUGCCUUUGGGUUGCGAAGAUCAAGACAUGGAUUUACCUUUUUAAAUAUGUUUUAUAUCUUUACCUGGGUGGGUUUUUAACUCAAUAAAAACAAACCUGUUUUUUGUUUUACACUCAA